GACGAACGCUGGCGGCGUGCUUAACACAUGCAAGUCGAACGGAAAGGCCCAGCUUGCUGGGUACUCGAGUGGCGAACGGGUGAGUAACACGCGGGUGAUCUGCCCUCCACUUUGGGAUAAGCCUGGGAAACUGGGUCUAAUACCGGACAUGAUAAACUUUCGCCUGGUGGGUGGUGGAAAGCUUUUGCGGUUGGGGAUGGGCUAUCGGCCUAUCAGCUUGUUGGUGGGGUAUUGGCAGACCAAGGCGACGACGGGUAGCCGACCUGGGAGGGUGAUCGGCCCCCCGGCGCCUGCGACACGGCCCAGACUCCUACGUGACGCAGCGGGGGGGAAUAUUGCACAGUAGGCGCAAGCCUGAUGCAGCGACGCCGCGUGCGGGAUGACGUCCUUCGGGUUGUAAACCUCUUUCUCCAGAGCCGAGGCGUGAGUGACGGUACCUGGAGAAGAAGCACCGGCCAACUACGUG
RNAcentral lists this ribosomal RNA (466 nucleotides) under uncultured bacterium. RNAcentral describes it as "partial 16S ribosomal RNA". It matches the Rfam family "Bacterial small subunit ribosomal RNA", at positions 28 to 507 of the family's 1533-position model. The record is from RNAcentral.